This 289-nucleotide unclassified non-coding RNA is filed under the name plant metagenome. Its description in RNAcentral is "partial contains small subunit ribosomal RNA and internal transcribed spacer 1". The stretch from base 1 to 54 matches the Rfam family "Eukaryotic small subunit ribosomal RNA", at positions 1778 to 1831 of the family's 1831-position model. The record is from RNAcentral.
GGAAGUAAAAGUUGUAACAAGGUUUCCGUAGGUGAACCUGCGGAAGGAUCAUUAUCGUACAAAAUGUGAGGGGCAUGCGAGGGCUGUCGCUGACCCAAAAGUCGUGCACGCCCGAGUGUGUCCUCUUGCAUAAUAAUCCAUCUCACCCUUUGUGCAUCACCGCGUGGGCACCCUUCGGGAUCAUCCCGGAGGGGGGCUCGCGUUUUCACACAAACCCCCCUUUUAAAAGUGUAGAAUGACCACAUUUAUGCAAUCAAUACAACUUUCAACAGCGGAUCUCUUGGCUCUC